CCUACGGGUUGCACCAGUGGGGAAUGUUGCACAAUGGGCGGAAGCCUGAUGCAGCGACGCCGCGUGGGGGAUGACGGCCUUCGGGUUGUAAACCCCUUUCGCCCGGGACGAAGCGAGAGUGACGGUACCGGGAGAAGAAGCACCGGCCAACUACGUGCCGGCAGCCGCGGUAAUACGUAGGGUGCAAGCGUUGCCCGGGAUUAUUGGGCGUAAAGAGCUCGUAGGCGGUGUGUCGCGUCUGCCGUGAAAACCUGCGGCUUAACCGUGGGCGUGCGGUGGAUACGGGCACACUUGAGUUCGGUAGGGGAGACUGGGAUUCCUGGUGUAGCGGUGGAAUGCGCAGAUAUCAGGAGGAACACCAGUGGCGAAGGCGGGUCUCUGGGCCGAAACUGACGCCGAGGAGCGAAAGCGUGGGGAGCGAACAGGAUUAGAUACCCGCGUAGUC
RNAcentral lists this ribosomal RNA (445 nucleotides) under uncultured bacterium. RNAcentral describes it as "bacterial SSU rRNA". It matches the Rfam family "Bacterial small subunit ribosomal RNA", at positions 338 to 795 of the family's 1533-position model. The record is from RNAcentral.